This 279-nucleotide ribosomal RNA is filed under the name uncultured Bacteroidota bacterium. RNAcentral's name for it is "uncultured Bacteroidetes bacterium partial 16S ribosomal RNA". It matches the Rfam family "Bacterial small subunit ribosomal RNA", at positions 28 to 310 of the family's 1533-position model. Lineage: Bacteria; Pseudomonadati; Bacteroidota. The record is from RNAcentral.
GAUGAACGCUAGCGGGAGGCUUAACACAUGCAAGUCGAGCGGGAUUGGUAGCAAUACCAUGAGAGCGGCGCACGGGUGCGUAACGCGUAUGCAACCUGCCUUAUACAAAGGGAUAGCCCAUGGAAACGUGGAUUAAUAUCUUAUAGGACUUAAUAAUCGCAUGGUUAAUAAGUUAAAACUACGGUGGUAUAAGAUGGGCAUGCGUCUGAUUAGGUAGUUGGUAGGGUAACGGCCUACCAAGGCAACGAUGUUUAGGGGUCCUGAGAGGGUGAUCCCCCA